This 514-nucleotide ribosomal RNA is filed under the name uncultured bacterium. RNAcentral describes it as "partial 16S ribosomal RNA". It matches the Rfam family "Bacterial small subunit ribosomal RNA", at positions 28 to 523 of the family's 1533-position model. The record is from RNAcentral.
GACGAACGCUGGCGGCGUGCCUAAUACAUGCAAGUCGAACGAGAGCGACUGGUGCUUGCACUGGUCAAUCUAGUGGCGAACGGGUGAGUAACACGUGGGUAACCUGCCCAUCAGAGGGGGAUAACAUCCGGAAACGGAUGCUAAAACCGCAUAGGUCUUCGAGCCGCAUGGCUUGAAGAGGAAAAGAGGCGCAAGCUUCAGCUGAUGGAUGGACCCGCGGUGCGUUAGCUAGUUGGUGAGGUAACGGCUCACCAAGGCCGUGAUGCAUAGCCGACCUGAGAGGGUGAUCGGCCACAUUGGGACUGGGACGCGGCCCAAACUCCUACGGGAGGCAGCAGUAGGGAAUCUUCCGCAAUGGACGCAAGUCUGACGGAGCAACGCCGCGUGAGUGAAGAAGGUUUUCGGAUCGUAAAACUCUGUUGUUAGAGAAGAACAAGUGCUAGAGUAACUGUUAGCGCCUUGACGGUAUCUAACCAGAAAGCCACGGCUAACUACGUGCCAGCAGCCGCUGUAA